RNAcentral lists this ribosomal RNA (200 nucleotides) under uncultured bacterium. RNAcentral's name for it is "partial 16S ribosomal RNA". It matches the Rfam family "Bacterial small subunit ribosomal RNA", at positions 28 to 229 of the family's 1533-position model. The record is from RNAcentral.
GAUGAACGCUGGCGGCGUGCUUAACACAUGCAAGUCGAACGAUGAUCCCAGCUUGCUGGGGGAUUAGUGGCGAACGGGUGAGUAACACGUGAGUAACCUGCCCUUAACUCUGGGAUAAGCCUGGGAAACUGGGUCUAAUACCGGAUAUGACUCCUCAUCGCAUGGUGGGUGGUGGAAAGCUUUUUGUGGUUUUGGAUGGA